CCUACGGGUGGCAGCAGUGAGGAAUAUUGGUCAAUGGACGAGAGUCUGAACCAGCCAAGUAGCGUGAAGGAUGACUGCCCUAUGGGUUGUAAACUUCUUUUAUAGGGAAUAAAAUGUUCGACGUGUGGGAUUUUGUAGGUACCAUAUAAAGAAGGAGCGGCGAACUCCGUGCCAGCAGCCGCGGGAAUACGGAGGAAACGAGCGUUAUCCGGAUUUAUUGGGUUUAAAGGGAGCGUAGGUGGAGUGUUAAGGCAGGUGUGAAAGUUUGCGGGUCAACCGUAAAAUUGCAGUUGAAACUGGCAGUCUUGCGUACAGUCGAGGUUGGCGGACUUCGUGGUGUAUCUGUGAAAUGCUUAGAUAUCACGCAGAACUCCGAUUGCGAAGGCAGCUCACUGUACUGCAACUGACACUGAGGCUCGAAAGUGUGGGUAUCAAACCGGAUUAGAUACCCGAGUAGUC
RNAcentral lists this ribosomal RNA (459 nucleotides) under uncultured bacterium. Its description in RNAcentral is "partial 16S ribosomal RNA". It matches the Rfam family "Bacterial small subunit ribosomal RNA", at positions 338 to 795 of the family's 1533-position model. The record is from RNAcentral.